GGGGGCGACCUGGUUUCGACGUGGAUUGCGAAGCCAUCGGAGCAUGCCGAGGUGCAGAAAUCCUCGUAAAUCCAACUGCAAACUAUUAGUUGCCAACGACGACAACUACGCCCUAGCGGCUUAAUCCCCGCUAGCCUCUCACCCAGUUGGUCCGUGGGCUAGGAUUCGAGAGGUCAUAAAACGCGGACUCGCUCUGUAGUCAGCUCGCGGUCUACAGGGUCAAAUACUAGUGGGCUCGUCUAUUGUGAUCCUGUCUGUUGGAGCGCCAUAGACUAGAUAAAAAACAGACUAAGCAUGUAGGAGCCGGUGAGUAGAGAAUUUGCGGACGCGGGUUCGAUUCCCGCCGCCUCCACCA
This 355-nucleotide transfer-messenger RNA is filed under the name Arenicellales. RNAcentral's name for it is "GCA-2721105 sp002721105 Standard tmRNA". It matches the Rfam family "transfer-messenger RNA". From Rfam's summary of the family: Bacterial tmRNA, also known as 10Sa RNA or SsrA, is named for its dual tRNA and mRNA-like properties. Its role is to liberate the mRNA from a stalled ribosome. The record is from RNAcentral. Lineage: Bacteria; Pseudomonadati; Pseudomonadota; Gammaproteobacteria. RNAcentral also lists the same sequence under 2 other names.